This 254-nucleotide ribosomal RNA is filed under the name uncultured bacterium. RNAcentral describes it as "partial 16S ribosomal RNA". It matches the Rfam family "Bacterial small subunit ribosomal RNA", at positions 524 to 776 of the family's 1533-position model. The record is from RNAcentral.
UACGAAGGGGGGCUAGCGUUGUUCGGAAUUACUGGGCGUAAAGCGCACGUAGGCGGAUUUGUAAGUCAGGGGUGAAAUCCCGGGGCUCAACCUCGGAACUGCCUUUGAUACUGCAAGUCUCGAGUCCGAUAGAGGUGAGUGGAAUUCCUAGUGUAGAGGUGAAAUUCGUAGAUAUUAGGAAGAACACCAGUGGCGAAGGCGGCUCACUGGAUCGGUACUGACGCUGAGGUGCGAAAGCGUGGGGAGCAAACAGG